CCCUCAGAUGUUCUGGGCCGCACGCGCGCUACACUGAUGCAUUCAACGAGCCUAUCCUUGACCGACAGGUCCGGGUAAUCUUUGAAUCUGCAUCGUGACGGGGAUAGAUUAUUGCAAUUAUUAAUCUUCAACGAGGAAUGCCUAGUAGGCGCAAGUCAUCAGCUUGCGUCGAUUACGUCCCUGCCCUUUGUACACACCGCCCGUCGCUCCUACCGAUUGGGUGUGCUGGUGAAAUGUUCGGAUCGGCCGUUUGUCGCGGUUUCCGCGGCUCGUGGCUGAGAAGUUCAUUAAACCCUCCCACCUAGAGGAAGGAGAAGUCGUAACA
RNAcentral lists this ribosomal RNA (325 nucleotides) under uncultured eukaryote. RNAcentral describes it as "partial 18S ribosomal RNA". It matches the Rfam family "Eukaryotic small subunit ribosomal RNA", at positions 1470 to 1796 of the family's 1831-position model. The record is from RNAcentral.